ACACAUGUGCUAUGGAAACAGAGAGUUCUGGAAUACAGUGUUCCAGAGUUCUGAGUUCCAUCACUAGUAUAUAAGUCAGUGUCCACACUGUGACUACAGAGAGAUUGUCUGCACUGAACUACUGAACAGUUUGCCACAAAACCUCCCACUCCAACCGAGGAAAUCUCACGACAGAAAACUCAGAAGAAGAGAAAAGAAAGAGAAACAAAACUAAUAUACCGAACUCAGCUGAAAGAUGUCUGAACAAAGACAGAUUUCCAGUUACAUGGAAAAGGAGAAGAACAUGGACAAAAGGCCUAGGUCUCCUUCUUUUUCCAUGGAUUCUUUGACCCCUGAGAUCAACAACAUCCCCAUCUCAGGGUUCAUCGAUCACAUACCGAUGGAUGACGAUGAGCUGAUGCAGUGUAAUGACCUCUUAGAUAAAGAAGAGGUCACCUGCUUCAACAUCCAUGAAAACAUCAGCCUGGAAAGCAGAUCAUUGCUCUCCGGCUCCUGGUCUUGCAGCACCGAUUCAGUUCUCUCAGAGGUCAUCACCUCAUUUCAUCAGGAUGUCAAUGAGGUGAUUAAAGCAGUAUGCCAAAGCUUUUUUGAUCCUGAAAACAUGGAGACAGAGGCAGUUGUUUCUGAAGAAAAAGAGGAAGUCCAGACCACAGAGAACAUAUCAACCUCCAGACUGACCAUCGGGUCGGAUAAGAGCCUGUCUUCUUCUUCCUCCAACGAAACAGUCAUUGCUGAGGCAGCAAAAACGCUCAUCUCUUUGGUGAUUGACAAAGCUGUAAAGGCACUGGAGGCCACUCAGGCUGCAAAAACACCCAAGGACAUUAGUUCUUUAAAGACACUGCAGUCUACUGAGGGUGAAAAGAUGCUGGAGGACACUGAUUCUCUAAAGACACUGCAAUCUACUGACUGUGAAAAGGGGAAGAGGUGUUCAAAUAGAGAUCAGAGAAAAGUUCAUCCAGCUCCACUUGCAUAUUUGGAUGAGCCCGUCAGGUCACCCAGCACCGACUGGACAAUUUUUUGCACUGCACAGAGCAAACAGGGCCUUUGUGAUUCCCAAGAGACAACCACCAUUACCUCCUCCAGUGGUGGUGAAAGUACAGACCUGAUGCCAUUUCAGCGAGAGUUGGUGGACUGCAUGGCGGACGAAGACCCAACUGGUGUUGAGAAAACCAAAGCAAAGAAAAGCAAUCGCUUCUUUGACUUCUUCCGCAACGUCUUUUCCAAGAAAAACAAUAAUAAGAAGAAGAAGAAGGUGGCUGUGGAAGAAAAUCACUCCAAGUGGCCUUCUUUUUGGAUGCACGUGAUGCUUUUAUAAGGACCAGGAUCAGGACCAGCUUUAGCCACUGUCCUGAUAAUAACUUAUCCCUACUGUUGUAUUGAUGUAUAUAAAUACAUCAAUGAUGUAUAUUGUGCUGUGUUUUAACUAUGACUGUUCCUCAAAAUUAAGACUUCAAUAUCAGUGAUUCUAGUUGUUUGAGGUGCUGGAGGACACUGAUUUUUUAAAGACACUACAGUCCACUGACUGUGAAAAGGUGCUGGAGGACAAUUCUCUAAAGACACUGCAGUCCAUUGACUGUGAAAAAGUGCUGGAGGACGCCAAAUUUUUAAAGACACUGCAGUUCACUGACUGUGAAAAGGUGCUAGAGGACAAAUUCUCUAAAGACACUGCAGUCCACUGACUGUGAAAAGGUGCUAGAGGACAAUUCUCUAAAGACACUGCAGUCCAC
Molecule: RNA transcript, 1727 nt
Organism: Larimichthys crocea (large yellow croaker)
Lineage: Eukaryota; Metazoa; Chordata; Actinopteri; Sciaenidae
Exons: 4
Source: RefSeq, a predicted model, not a curated record